AAUUGUGGGAAUUAUAGAAAUGAUGAUGUUAAACCCAUGAAAUUUGAUUGAAUUGUGGGAAUGAUGAAAAUGUUGAUGUUAAACCCAUGAAAUUUGAUUGAAUUGUGAGAAUGAUGAAAAUAUUGAUGUUAAACCCAUGAAAUUUGUUUGAGUUGUGGGAAUUAUAGAAAUGAUGAUGUUAAACCCAUGCAAUUUGAUUGAAUUGUGGGAAUGAUGAAAAUGUUGAUGUUAAACCCAUGAAAUUUGAUUGAGUUUUGGGAAUGAUGAAAAUGAUGGUGUUAAACCCAUGAAA
This 292-nucleotide long non-coding RNA is filed under the name Lathyrus oleraceus (garden pea). RNAcentral's name for it is "Pisum sativum (pea) long non-coding RNA (PSAT_LNC041430)". The record is from RNAcentral. Lineage: Eukaryota; Viridiplantae; Streptophyta; Magnoliopsida; Fabales; Fabaceae.